CAAUAGCGUAUAUUAAAGUUGUUGCGGUUAAAAAGCUCGUAGUUGGAUUUCUGUUGAGGGCGACCGGACUACGGCAUUUUACCGGUGCCAUUGUUCAGUUCGCGUUUAUGGCCUUGGCCUGGCUGGUCCUUUUGGGGCCAAUUCCCCUUCCUUUUGGGGGGAAACGACUCCAUGCUUUAAUUGCACGGAUCGGGAUUCAAGACUUUUACUUUGAGGAAAUUAGAGUGUUCACGGCAAGCAAGUGCUUUGAAUACAUUAGCAUGGAAUAAUAAUAUAGGACCUUUGUUCUAUUUUGUUGGUUUCUAGAACUAAGGUAAUGAUUAAUAGGGACAAUUGGGGGCAUUCGUAUUAACGCGUCAGAGGUGGAAUUCUUGGAUUGCGUUACGACGAACUACUGCGAAAGCAUUUGCCAAGGAUGUUUUCAUUGAUCAAGAACGAAAGUAUGGGGAUCGAAGAUGAUCAGAU
RNAcentral lists this ribosomal RNA (465 nucleotides) under uncultured eukaryote. RNAcentral's name for it is "bacterial SSU rRNA". It matches the Rfam family "Eukaryotic small subunit ribosomal RNA", at positions 592 to 1013 of the family's 1831-position model. The record is from RNAcentral.